UACACGCAUGACACACUGCAUAUCAAUAAGCGGAGGAAAAGAAACUAACUAAGGAUUCCCUCAGUAACGGCGAGUGAAGCGGGAAGAGCUCAAAUUUGAAAUCUUCAAGGUUUUACCUUGACGAAUUGUAGUUUAUAGAAGUGUUUUCUGUUAGUAGAGUUUGGUAAAAGUUCUUUGGAAUAGGACAUCAUAGAGGGUGAGAAUCCCGUAUUUGACCGUUACUUUCCAGCUGUGUGAUACACUUUCAAAGAGUCGGAUUGUUUGGGAAUGCAGUCCAAAAUGGGUGGUAAAUUUCAUCUAAAGCUAAAUAUUGGCGAGAGACCGAUAGCGAACAAGUACCGUGAGGGAAAGAUGAAAAGAACUUUGAAAAGAGAGUUAAACAGUACGUGAAAUUGUCAAAAGGGAAGCGUUUGACACCAGUGUUGUUUAGUUCGAAAAUCAAUUCAAGAAUGUUUUGAUUUUAAGUAGUAUUGACUUCAUCAGCUUGCUGCUUUCUUUUCCGAAAUUAUUGAAUGCACUUUUCAGUUAACAAGUCAACAUCAAUUUCUUUUGUUGUAAAAGGGUAUGAGGAAGGUGGCUUUCUUUUCGGAGAAAGUGUUUAUAGCCUUGUACCUCUGCAAUCGGAGAGAUUGAGGUCUGCAGCGUAGAUCCUUCGGGGUUAGAUACAUUUGUGCUAAGUUAUAGCUUUUCAUAGACAACUUGUUGACUAUGUUUAGUCUUGUAGCUUACUCGCUUAUGCUAUUUUACCUACGCUUAGGAUGUUGACUGAUAUGUAGUCGUA
RNAcentral lists this ribosomal RNA (781 nucleotides) under uncultured Neocallimastigales. RNAcentral describes it as "partial large subunit ribosomal RNA". It matches the Rfam family "Eukaryotic large subunit ribosomal RNA", at positions 22 to 644 of the family's 3401-position model. Lineage: Eukaryota; Fungi; Neocallimastigomycota; Neocallimastigomycetes; Neocallimastigales. The record is from RNAcentral.